GCCGAGCUGAUUUGGGCAAGCUUCUAUCUUUCAGAUGGGCGUAGUGCACUCCUCUGUAAUGCGUAGGUCGUAGGUUCGAUUCCUAUUUCCGGCACCA
This 97-nucleotide transfer RNA is filed under the name Tolumonas osonensis. RNAcentral describes it as "tRNA-Ser". The record is from RNAcentral. Lineage: Bacteria; Pseudomonadati; Pseudomonadota; Gammaproteobacteria; Aeromonadales; Aeromonadaceae.